Molecule: ribosomal RNA, 301 nt
Filed under: uncultured bacterium
Lineage: Bacteria
Description: partial 16S ribosomal RNA
Rfam family: Bacterial small subunit ribosomal RNA
Source: RNAcentral
CAGCAGCCGCGGGAAUACGUAGGUCCCGAGCGUUGUCCGGAUUUAUUGGGCGUAAAGCGAGCGCAGGCGGUUAGAUAAGUCUGAAGUUAAAGGCUGUGGCUUAACCAUAGUACGCUUUGGAAACUGUUUAACUUGAGUGCAAGAGGGGAGAGUGGAAUUCCAUGUGUAGCGGUGAAAUGCGUAGAUAUAUGGAGGAACACCGGUGGCGAAAGCGGCUCUCUGGCUUGUAACUGACGCUGAGGCUCGAAAGCGUGGGGAGCAAACAGGAUUAGAUACCCGAGUAGUCCCUGUCUCUUAUACA